UAAGAGCUUGCAAGCCAUAAAUAUUCGUCUUCUCUUUCACACUCCAAGAUUCAAAACCUCUUCUUAAUAAAGUUGGAAGAAAAAGAUUACCUGGAGGGAAUAUCCAGUCGUAAUCCCGAAUAUAACAGGGAUGUCGAUUUGGUUGAGUUGGUAAAGAUGUUGCUUGUUAAACCUUAAGUUCUGGGUUCAAUCCUUGGUUUUCAGCAUUUUUCAUUUUUAACAUAUUUUUUAUUUUCUACUAGUUUUUAUUAUUAUUACCAUUUUUAUUUAUUUUAAACCUUUUAUUUAUUUUUUUAUUUUUAUUUUUUCUCCUUUUUUUUUAAACACUUGUUGAUUUUAAUGUUAAACAUCGAUUUGUAAUUUAUGGAUUUGACAAUUUUCUUGUUAUUUAUCCAUGAGUAUUUUAUCGAUAUAUUGAUAGUAUUUCACCGCGUUUCGAUUAAUCGCAUAUGACAUUUCAAUUGUUGUCAAUAUGUGCAAACCGGCUUUGAGCACAUUAUUUAGGGUUUGUGUGUUCCUCAAUUUCCAUCCGUGCAAAUCCCGAUUUUAUCUUUCUUUGAUUUAAUUUUUAAGUGUUUUGUAAAUAUAAUUUGUUGUGUUAUUUAUUUUCUUCACAUGGCUUACUCUUGGGCCUUCUUACAAUGAGCUCUUAAGCAACAUCAACUAAACUUUCAAUAAUUUCAAACCUCGAUACUUUAAUUGUUUUAAUUUAAUAUUCAAAUCGUUUUCUAAAUAAAACGUGAAGAAAAAGAUUAUCCUGGAGGGAAUAUCCAGUCAUAAUCCCGAAUAUUAGGCUCAAGCUGUAAGAGCUUGCAAGCCGUUAAUAUUCGUCUUCUCUUUAACACUCAAAUAUUCAAAUCAUUUUCUAAAUAAAACGUGAAGAAAAAGAUUAUCCUGGAUGGAAUAUCCAGUCAUAAUCCCGAAUAUUAGGCUCAAGCUGUAAGAGCUUGCAAGCCAUAAAUAUUC
Molecule: long non-coding RNA, 966 nt
Filed under: Lathyrus oleraceus (garden pea)
Lineage: Eukaryota; Viridiplantae; Streptophyta; Magnoliopsida; Fabales; Fabaceae
Description: Pisum sativum (pea) long non-coding RNA (PSAT_LNC004692)
Source: RNAcentral